AGGGCUAUAGCUCAGUUGGUAGAGCACCUCGUUUACACAAAUGCAUGUUGGGUCUUUGAAACAGUUCAGAUCAUUUUGAUAAUA
This 84-nucleotide transfer RNA is filed under the name Sonchus boulosii. Its description in RNAcentral is "tRNA-Cys". The record is from RNAcentral. Lineage: Eukaryota; Viridiplantae; Streptophyta; Magnoliopsida; Asterales; Asteraceae.